AACCUGCCUCAUACAGGGGGAUAACAGUUAGAAAUGACUGCUAAUACCGCAUAAGCGCACAGGACCGCAUGGUCAAGUGUGAAAAACUCCGGUGGUAUGAGAUGGACCCGCGUCUGAUUAGCUGGUUGGUGAGGUAAUGGCCCACCAAGGCGACGAUCAGUAGCCGACCUGAGAGGGUGGCCGGCCACAUUGGGACUGAGACACGGCCCAAACUCCUACGGGAGGCAGCAGUGGGGAAUAUUGCACAAUGGGGGAAACCCUGAUGCAGCAACGCCGCGUGAGUGAAGAAGUAUUUCGGUAUGUAAAGCUCUAUCAGCAGGGAAGAAGAAAGACGGUACCUGACUAAGAAGCCCCGGCUACCUACGUGCCAGCAGCCGCGGUAAUACGUAGGGGGCAAGCGUUAUCCGGAUUUACUGGGUGUAAAGGGAGCGUAGACGGCAUAGCAAGUCUGAAGUGAAAGCCCGUGGCUCAACCGCGGAACUGCUUUGGAAACUGUUAAGCUGGAGUACUGGAGAGGCAAGCGGAAUUCCUAGUGUAGCGGUGAAAUGCGU
Molecule: ribosomal RNA, 551 nt
Filed under: uncultured bacterium
Lineage: Bacteria
Description: bacterial SSU rRNA
Rfam family: Bacterial small subunit ribosomal RNA
Source: RNAcentral